UUUUAUUUAUUAUUUUUUAGACCUUCUCAAAACCUGUAAUCUCAAAACAUAACAUUUACGCCUUUUCUUUCCAACAGAUAGCCUCAUCUCCGCACCACACACGAAGACAUCAACUGAGCCGAGGAUUGUGUUAAAGCGGUGAUGGGAGACAUACCCAACUCAGUUUAGCUGAGCAUCGCCUCAGCUAAUCAGGUGGGUCCGGUGACAGGCAAGCUCAGCUCUACAUUAGACCGAGGCUCAUCUGCGUUUUGGUUCCUACCCCACCCAACGAUGCUAGAGAGCCAACGAGGCGGCAAGAAAAGGGGAUCCAAACCCAAAUCGCAGGCAAUUGAUACUUCUACUUUGGCCAUCGAUGAAGAUUGGGUCACUAAGUAUGCCCGCCAAGUUUCGAAACUGUUACUGAUUUUGAAGGUGGUUGGCAUUUAUGUCUGGAUUAUCGAUACCUGUUUCAAGAAUUCAACCAUUACUCUUUGCUAGGUGGUUUUUCCUAUUUCUAAUUCCACUUUAAUUUCCUUGGAUUAUCUAUCUUUCGAGACAAUAAUCUGUAUUGUAGACUCUUUGCCUGAUGCUGCCCUCUUUAUGAGUGUGAAUUUCUUGUAUUCAUUGAUAUAAUUGGCAACUUAUUUUUUUCUUAUUUGAUAUGAGUUGGAGAUAUAAGGCUGGUUUGUUCUUGAUAGCUGCUGUUGUUAUUAUAUGGGUCACCUCUGAGGAAGUCAGCCAGGUAGGUUUCAAAUUUGUUCUUUGUACUUUGUCAAUUUGAAUUGUAUAUCUGGUUAUAUAAAAAAAAUGCGUGACAAAUGGGGAUACUAGCUAGCUUUAUUUCUAUGGUUCUAGUUUUUAAUUCAAACAAACUCCUUUGUGCUUAAUUUUCAAAGAUUUAUUUUUCUGAUCGAGUAUGUGGAAUUAAUGGUCAUGAAAUGCGUGACAAAUGGGGAUACUAGCUAGCUAGUUCUAGUUUACAAUUAUUUCUUCAUCUUUGGUUCUCCACCACUUAUUUUUCUUUUCUCUUUCUUUUUCUAGCUGUUACAUUUGUUUUCUGGUUUCUUAAUUGAAGCUGCGGAGCUAGGUAUAGAGAGUGCCAAUGACCUUUCACCACAAGUAGAGGGAAGGCCUUUGAUUCUCAGACGCAAAGAUGAUUUUAAUGUGUUGAAACAUGACAAAGAGCUUACAAAUAGAGAAAUUGCCACCUAUGGUUUUUAUAUUGCCCCAAUCUGGCUUGUAACAGUGGUUAUUGCCAAUUGAGCUGCUGAGAUUCUUGGACAUAAGCAUAGUGAAAAGUUUGUACAUCCAAAUGAUCAUGUGAACAGAUCACAGUCUUCUAAUGAUACCUUCCCAACUGUAAUGCACAUUGCAGCUGCAACAGAAAUAAAUUCAAGAUUAAUACCAAAUUUGAGAAAUUUGCACACUAAUUUGCUCACUACACUACUUUCAAAGUCUACUGAAUUCAAAGAUAUUGUCAAAAUUGGUCGCACACACAUUCAAGAUGC
Molecule: RNA transcript, 1487 nt
Organism: Hevea brasiliensis (rubber tree)
Lineage: Eukaryota; Viridiplantae; Streptophyta; Magnoliopsida; Malpighiales; Euphorbiaceae
Exons: 7
Source: RefSeq, a predicted model, not a curated record